GGUAGAGUUAGCUUGCUAACUUGAGACCGGCGCACGGGUGCGUAACGCGUAUGCAAUCUACCUUAUACAGGGGAAUAGCCCAGAGAAAUUUGGAUUAAUGCCCCAUAGUAUUAUUGAAUGGCAUCAUUUGAUAAUUAAAGUUCCAACGGUAUAAGAUGAGCAUGCGUCCCAUUAGUUAGUUGGUAAGGUAACGGCUUACCAAGACUAUGAUGGGUAGGGGUCCUGAGAGGGAGAUCCCCCACACUGGUACUGAGACACGGACCAGACUCC
RNAcentral lists this ribosomal RNA (270 nucleotides) under uncultured bacterium. RNAcentral's name for it is "partial 16S ribosomal RNA". It matches the Rfam family "Bacterial small subunit ribosomal RNA", at positions 67 to 339 of the family's 1533-position model. The record is from RNAcentral.